UACGUAGGGUGCAAGCGUUGUCCGGAAUUACUGGGCGUAAAGGGCUCGUAGGCGGCCAACUAAGUCGGACGUGAAAUCCCUCAGCUUAACUGGGGAACUGCGUCCGAUACUGGAUGGCUUGGAUUUGGGAGAGGGAUGCGGAAUUCCGGGUGUAGCGGUGGAAUGCGUAGAGAUCCGGAAGAACACCGGUGGCGAAGGCGGUCUGCUGGGCAGUUGCUGACACUGAGGCGCGACAGCGUGGGGAGCAAACAGG
RNAcentral lists this ribosomal RNA (253 nucleotides) under uncultured bacterium. Its description in RNAcentral is "partial 16S ribosomal RNA". It matches the Rfam family "Bacterial small subunit ribosomal RNA", at positions 524 to 776 of the family's 1533-position model. The record is from RNAcentral.